AUGGCUGGAGGGCCUAUAGACUUCUGGAAUGCGUGGGCGGUUCAGAGCCUGGUGCUGACGAGCCUAACUCUGCAGGUUGCCCUCGUCCUGUUAGCGGGGAUCCGGCGGCGUGGCACAUCCUGGCGUACGUUCAGGUUCAUGCUCUGGAUGGCGUACCAGCUCGCCGACGCCACCGCGAUAUAUGCUCUCGGCCACCUCUCAUUCGACGGUGCCACACCCCGCGAGCAUCGCCUGGUUGCGUUCUGGGCGCCGUUUCUCUUGCUGCACCUUGGCGGCCCGGACAACAUCACCGCCUACUCGCUCGAAGACAACACAUUGUGGCUGCGACACCUACUUAAUCUUGGUUUGCAGGUGCUGGGAGCUUCCUACGUCCUCUACAAGCAUUACAUCGGCACUCAAGACAUGCUCCUUCUCGCCGCCAUCUUGAUGUUCGUCGUCGGUGUUGUCAAGUAUGGCGAGAGGACGUGGGCGCUCAAGUGCGGCAACAUGGACAGCAUCCGGGGCUCCCUCAAGAAGAAACCACCUCCCAGAUGUCAACUUUUUUACCUUGAGUAUGAGCUCCCGCAAGGUGGAUCCAAGGGCAGUGUCGAUGAAGAAGAAUUCCUCAUGCGGCAUGCUCAUUCCCUGUUUCAGUUCUGCAAGCGCGCAAUAGUUGAAUCGUCAGAGGACAGGGACCCGGCCAACCCUGAAAUCAAAGUUCUUGACCACCUCACACAUGAACAGUGGAAGCUGUACAAAAAGCUCACAGGCGACCUGCUAGGCGUUGAGUUCCAAGAGGGCAUCAUUAUCUGGCACAUCGCCACCGACCUCUACCUCCUCGACGACAAGCACACUGGGAUGGAAAUCAUGGAAGGCCAACAAAUGUCGCCCCACUUCACCAUAUGGCAUUUCUAUCCAAUGUUCAUUGCAUGCCAGAAGAAAAGAGAGGUCUUUACUAAACGAGCUAUGCACACCCUACUGUUCUUUCAGAGAAGAAUACCCAACUGUCCCAGGAGCUAG
RNAcentral lists this ribosomal RNA (999 nucleotides) under Triticum aestivum (bread wheat). Its description in RNAcentral is "partial small subunit ribosomal RNA". Lineage: Eukaryota; Viridiplantae; Streptophyta; Magnoliopsida; Poales; Poaceae. The record is from RNAcentral.